UGAUGACAUUACAUGACCAGCGCAGGCAGGGGUGAUGGGCGGGUGCAUGACCAUGGCUUAAUAAUGAGUCGAGCUGAAAAUAACCCUUCAUCAAUUCAACACUAACCCUCAACUCUAACGGAGGACGGGCCGGGCGGGCGGGCCCAGAUUAUGCCCAGGACUGGGGGGGGUAAGGGCUCUCUACAGACCGAGACGGCGCCGCCCUCUCAGAGGCCACCCUAACCUACCGCCCCCCUCCUCCUCCUCCUUCCUUCACAGACCUGCAUCUGCUUGCGAACCUCUAUCGUCAUGACAUACUCUGAGACAACAACAGUCGUCUCUGGUGGGGUAACGGGGAGAGCUGGAGCUAGGGCUGGGGAUAAACAAAACAAAAACAUUUGAAAGAUUCUUCAUGCUGUGUCCAAGGUCAAAGAAACCUCUUGUUCUAAAUGUGUGGUGCAAAGCGAGGACUACAUGGAAGACAGUGUUAUUCUUAGUGACCGGAUGGUUUUCUGUAGACUUUGACAAUGACGAUGAUCAAGCGACUAGCAACACUGUACUGUAAACCUGGUGUGUAUCUGUUGGGUGUUCCACCCACUUCUCUCUCUUUGUGUUUCACUGGGUCUGAGAGGAAAAGAGCAAUAUCAUCAUUUAUUUCACAUGAUCCUCUAAUCAAAUGUGUAUAUACUGAGUGUACAAAACAUUAGACUCUGGACUCUACAAGGUGUCGAAGCCGUUCCACAGGGAUGCUGGUCCAUGUUAACUCCAAUACUUCCCACUGUUGUUCCAAGUUGGCUGGAUGUCUUUUGGGUGGUGAACCAUUCUUGAUCCACACGGGAAACUGUUGAGAGUGAAAAACCCAGCAGGGUUAAAGUUCACGACUCAAACCGGUGCGUCUGGCACCUACUAAUGUUCAAAGGAACUUCAAUAUUUUGUCUCGUCCAUUUCACCCUCUGAAUGGCACACAUACACAAUACAUGUCUCAAUUGUCUCAAGGCUUAAAAAUCCUUCUGUAACCUGUCUCCUCCCCUUCAUCUACCCGGUGUCCCAUGUCUAAAUCAGGCCCUGGUGUCCCAUGUCUAAAUCAGGCCCUGGUGUCCCAUGUCAAAAUCAGGCCCUGGUGUCCCAUGUCUAAAUCAGACCCUGGUGUCCCAUGUCUAAAUCAGACCCCGGUGUCCCAUGUCUAAAUCAGACCCCGGUGUCCCAUGUCUAAAUCAGGCCCCGGUGUCCCAUGUCUAAACCAGGCCCCGGUGUCCCAUGUCUAAAUCAGGCCCUGGUGUCCCAUGUCUAAACCAGACCCUGGUGUCCCAUGUCUAAACCAGGCACCGGUGUCCCAUGUCUAAAUCAGGCCCUGGUGUCCCAUGUCUAAAUCAGACCCUGGUGUCCCAUGUCUAAAUCAGACCCUGGUGUCCCAUGUCUAAAUCAGACCCUGGUGUCCCAUGUCAAAAUCAGGCCCUGGUGUCCCAUGUCUAAACCAGACCCUGGUGUCCCAUGUCUAAAUCAGACCUGGAUUCAAACUGUUCCAGAGUUGAGUUGGGGGGCUCUAUGUCACGGAAAGAGCAGGUGUUCUUAAUGUUUUCUACACUCAGUCUAGAUGUUCAGUUUCCAUGUAUUUCCGUUUAAGUGUUCUGAUGACUUCUCUAUGUAAGGAGUGCUCUGCUUCUUUAUUUCACUGAUAAUAACCUCGAUGUGUUUCUCUCUCUUUAAAUUGGUAGAAGAGAUCACAUGCUUCUAUCUAGCCUUUAUGACUUUGAUAUGUAUUCCUGUUUUUAUUCGCCUUACAUAUGCAGUAUUGACUUAGAUUCAUGCAUACAUAUGCAGUAUUGACUUAGAUUCAUACAUUUCCUACAUUGUAUAAAAUGUGUAAAACCUUUCUCUAACCUUUUUAUAAAACAAGUAGGCUUGUUGAUAGGAUGCCAUGGCAGAGCCUUUUUGAAAAAAUACAGCAAGAUGGCCGACGCAGUAAGACUGCCCUGUCCCGGGUCGUGGUUCAUUAGCAGAUGGCGGACGCAGUAAGACUGCCCUGUCCCGGGUCGUGGUUCAUUAGCAGAUGGCGGACGCAGUAAGACUGCCCUGUCCCGGGUCGUGGUUCAUUAGCAGAUGGCCGACGCAGUAAGACUGCCCUGUCCCGGGUCGUGGUUCAUUAGCAGAUGGCGGACGCAGUAAGACUGCCCUGUCCCGGGUCGUGGUUCAUUAGCAGAUGGCCGACGCAGUAAGACUGCCCUGUCCCGGGUCGUGGUUCAUUAGCAGAUGGCCCACGCAGUAAGACUGCCCUGUCCCGGGUCGUAGUUCAUUAGCAGAUGGCUCACGCAGUAAGACUGCCCUGUCCCGGGUCGUGGUUCAUUAGCAGAUGGCUCACGCAGUAAGACUGCCCUGUCCCGGGUCGUGGUUCAUUAGCAGAUGGCCCACGUAGUAAGACUGCCCUGUCCCGGGUCGUGGUUCAUUAGCAGAUGGCCCACGUAGUAAGACUGCCCUGUCCCGGGUCAUGUUCAUUAGGCACCAAACGUUAGAAAACGGACUGAAAUGGGGAUGUUCUACCUCCACCUGUCCAGUAUAAAACAUUCAUUUUAGUACGAGAACAAACACACGUUUUCAUUUUUUAUUGAACCUUUAUUGAACUAAGCAAGAACAAUUCUUAUUUACAAUGACGGCCUACCCUGUUCAAACCUUCCCCUAGCCCGGACGACACUGGGCCCGGGAUCGAACCCGGGUCUGUAGCGAUGCCUCUAGACCCGCUGCGUCACUAAUGGACCACUAACCAAUGGACAGACGGGUAGAAGUCAAAGAGGAUCUUUCCUAUCAUGUUAUAUCAUGAACAUGUUGAAAGUGCUUUCGCCUCGAGUGUAAAAACCAAACCGGUGUGAGUAAGACUAGACUUAUUGACUUGUUGCUGAUACUGUGUUUUUUUCAGUUUAUAAUAAAAGGAUGUGUCCAUAUUAUUAUGUAACUGAUGAACUUUGUAUGGCUGUUACUACUUGUGUUAAAUACUAGUCUCCUGACAUGUGGUGAUAUGAUUGGUAGGGCAACGUGUCUCUACUUGUGUUAAAUACUAGUCUCCUGACAUGUGGUGAUAUGAUUGGUAGGGCAACGUGUUACUACUUGUGUCCCAGAUCGGUUGGUCUCCUGGCAUGGUCCCAGAUCAGUUAGUCUCCUGGCCUGGUCCCAAAUCGGUUAGUCUCCUGGCCUGGUCCCAGAUCGGUUAGUCUCCUGGCCUGGUCCCAGAUCGGUUAGUCUCCUGGCCUGGUCCCAGAUCGGUUAGUCUCCUGGCCUGGUCCCAGAUCGGUUGGUCUCCUGG
Long non-coding RNA from Oncorhynchus tshawytscha (Chinook salmon), 3274 nucleotides. The record is from Ensembl. NCBI's taxonomy places the organism in Eukaryota, Metazoa, Chordata, Actinopteri, Salmoniformes, Salmonidae.